RNAcentral lists this ribosomal RNA (254 nucleotides) under uncultured bacterium. RNAcentral's name for it is "partial 16S ribosomal RNA". It matches the Rfam family "Bacterial small subunit ribosomal RNA", at positions 524 to 776 of the family's 1533-position model. The record is from RNAcentral.
CACGUAGGGUGCGAGCGUUGUCCGGAAUUAUUGGGCGUAAAGAGCUCGUAGGCGGUGUGUCGCGUCGGCCGUGAAAACCUGCAGCUUAACUGUGGGCUUGCGGUCGAUACGGGCAUCACUGGAGUUCGGCAGGGGAGACUGGAAUUCCUGGUGUAGCGGUGAAAUGCGCAGAUAUCAGGAGGAACACCGGUGGCGAAGGCGGGUCUCUGGGCCUGUUCUGACGCUGAGGCGCGAAAGCUAGGGGAGCGAACAGG